GGCUCAAUGGUCUAGUGGUAGGAUACUCGCUUCGGGCCUAUACGAUGCCAAUCGUGGAUCCCAUCUCAUGGAAUGAGAUAUUGUGAGUGGUCCCGGGUUCAAAUCCCGGUUGAGCCC
Non-coding RNA from Hypoxylon sp. FL0890, 117 nucleotides. The record is from the annotation of a GenBank genome assembly. NCBI's taxonomy places the organism in Eukaryota, Fungi, Ascomycota, Sordariomycetes, Xylariales, Hypoxylaceae.